RNAcentral lists this small nucleolar RNA (213 nucleotides) under Helianthus annuus (common sunflower). Its description in RNAcentral is "Plant small nucleolar RNA U3". It matches the Rfam family "Plant small nucleolar RNA U3". Rfam says of the family: Small nucleolar RNAs (snoRNAs) are involved in the processing and modification of rRNA in the nucleolus. Lineage: Eukaryota; Viridiplantae; Streptophyta; Magnoliopsida; Asterales; Asteraceae. The record is from RNAcentral.
ACGACCUUACUUGAACAGGAUCUGUUCUAUAGGCUCGUACCUCUGUAUUCUUGAUUCCUAAGAAGACAGAAACCCAUGUUCGGUUGAUGACUCAUGACCAUGGAACUAGAGCGUGAUUAACAGAGCCCCAUGGUCUUGACCAUGGCUCAGUAGAGGAUCGUUGCCAGCCCAUUUGAUGGGUUGCGGCAUCGUUCCAUGGUUGUCUGACAAACA